RNAcentral lists this long non-coding RNA (809 nucleotides) under Ricinus communis (castor bean). RNAcentral describes it as "long non-coding RNA (RCOM_LNC000558)". The record is from RNAcentral. Lineage: Eukaryota; Viridiplantae; Streptophyta; Magnoliopsida; Malpighiales; Euphorbiaceae.
UGGAUAGCAAAUAGUUAGCAUGCAAUUGUAUCAAUGAAACUGGGUUACCAUAUCAUAUGAUUGAUAAUGAUGCUAAUAAUAACAAUCAGUAAGCAAACAUCUCCAUAUUAUGCCUAAUAAUAACUGAAUCAACACUUUUCAUAUUUUCCUCUCUUUUUCCUAGACCAGUUAAACAUAUUUGUCAGCUAUAAUUUCCUAACUCAAAGAAGCAUACUUUUCAUGAGCAACCUAAAGUAUCUCUUCUACAAACGUUCACUCAGUCAUUUUUACAAACAUAUUGUGAGCCUAAGCUGAAGUCGUCUUGAUGAGCACCUCCCUAUGAUAGCUGUAAAUGUUUUUUUGGGAAGAGAAACAAAGAAAGAAAUUGAGAAAAAAUCUAGAGUUGAAGGUAGCUUAGCAAACCCAAUAAAUUUCCUAAAUUUGAAAGGUUACUAGUAGUAUAUGAAAGGCAAAAGCAGAACACAAUAAUGAAAAAGACUACAACGUACCCGAAUGAAUUUAGAAGCUCUCGAAAACUUAGUAUUGAGUUGAUUCGACUGUCUAUGGCUUCUACAUGCUCUGUGACCUUUCUCCAGUUGAUCACCUACACUUUUAAUAAUGCAGGUCUGAGUGAGUAGGAUUGAUCGUCAUGCUUAUAAGUUAUGUGCUUCUCAUAUUGGAAAUGGAGAUCAACGUCGUCGUUAGGAAGUUGAUGAACUGCAUCAAGUUCAGCUGCCGCCGACAAUUUUGCCGGGUGGAUUGAUUUGGGCGGCGGUGAUCAAAUUUUUUUGAGUUUUAAAAACUACGUCGUUUUCAAAUACUAGAAAUUG